RNAcentral lists this ribosomal RNA (253 nucleotides) under uncultured bacterium. RNAcentral's name for it is "partial 16S ribosomal RNA". It matches the Rfam family "Bacterial small subunit ribosomal RNA", at positions 524 to 776 of the family's 1533-position model. The record is from RNAcentral.
UACGAAGGUGGCAAGCGUUGUUCGGAUUUACUGGGCGUACAGGGAGCGUAGGCGGUUGGAUAAGCCCUCCGUGAAAUCUCCAGGCUUAACCUGGAAAGUGCAGAGGGGACUGUUCAGCUAGAGGAUGGGAGAGGAGCGCGGAAUUCCAGGUGUAGCGGUGAAAUGCGUAGAUAUCUGGAGGAACACCGGUGGCGAAGGCGGCAUCCUGGACCGGUAUUGACGCUGAGGCGCGAAAGCCAGGGGAGCAAACGGG